Molecule: ribosomal RNA, 218 nt
Filed under: uncultured bacterium
Lineage: Bacteria
Description: partial 16S ribosomal RNA
Rfam family: Bacterial small subunit ribosomal RNA
Source: RNAcentral
UGGGAACGUGCCUUUUGGUUCGGAACAACUGAGGGAAACUUCAGCUAAUACCGGAUAAGCCCUUACGGGGAAAGAUUUAUCGCCAAAAGAUCGGCCCGCAUCUGAUUAGCUAGUCGGUGGGGUAAUGGCCCACCAAGGCUACGAUCAGUAGCUGGUCUGAGAGGAUGAUCAGCCACACUGGGACUGAGACACGGCCCAGACCUCCGUACGGGGGGCAG